RNAcentral lists this non-coding RNA (24 nucleotides) under Arabidopsis thaliana (thale cress). Lineage: Eukaryota; Viridiplantae; Streptophyta; Magnoliopsida; Brassicales; Brassicaceae. The record is from RNAcentral.
ACCACAGGUCACGCAUUCCCCGGU